GAUGAACGCUGGCGGCGUGCCUAAUACAUGCAAGUCGAGCGAACGGACGAGAAGCUUGCUUCUCUGAUGUUAGCGGCGGACGGGUGAGUAACACGUGGAUAACCUACCUAUAAGACUGGGAUAACUUCGGGAAACCGUAGCUAAUACCGGAUAAUAUUUUGAACCGCAUGGUUCAAAAGUGAAAGACGGUCUUGCUGUCACUUAUAGAUGGAUCCGCGCUGCAUUAGCUAGUUGGUAAGGUAACGGCUUACCGAGGCAACGAUGCAUAUCCGACCUGAGAGGGUGAUCGGCCACACUGGAACUGAGACACGGUCCAGACUCCUACGGGAGGCAGCAGUAGGGAAUCUUCCGCAAUGGGCGAAAGCCUGACGGAGCAACGCCGCGUGAGUGAUGAAGGUCUUCGGAUCGUAAAACUCUGUUAUUAGGGAAGAACAUAUGUGUAAGUAACUGUGCACAUCUUGACGGUACCUAAUCAGAAAGCCACGGCUAACUACGUG
RNAcentral lists this ribosomal RNA (497 nucleotides) under uncultured bacterium. RNAcentral's name for it is "partial 16S ribosomal RNA". It matches the Rfam family "Bacterial small subunit ribosomal RNA", at positions 28 to 507 of the family's 1533-position model. The record is from RNAcentral.